Molecule: long non-coding RNA, 330 nt
Filed under: Homo sapiens (human)
Lineage: Eukaryota; Metazoa; Chordata; Mammalia; Primates; Hominidae
Description: non-protein coding lnc-PLXNA2-5:1
Source: RNAcentral
AUGACAAAGAAAAGAAGGAACAAUGGUCGUGCCAAAAAGGGCCACAGCCACGUGCAGCCUAUUUGCUGCACUAACUGUGCCUGAUGCAUGCCCAAGGACAAGGCCAUUAAGAAAUUCGUCAUUUGAAACAUAGUGGAGGCCGCAGCAGUCAGGGACAUUUCUGAAGCGAGCGUCUUCGAUGCCUAUGUGCUUCCCAAGCUGUUUGUGAAGCUACAUUACUGUGUGAGUUGUGCAAUUCACAGCAAAGUAGUCAGGAAUCGAUCUCAUGAAGCCCACAAGGACUGAACACCCCCACCCCGAUUUAGACCUGUGAGUGCUGCCCACGUCCCC